AUUGAACGCUGGCGGCAGGCCUAACACAUGCAAGUCGAACGAGUGGCGGACGGGUGAGUAAUGUCUGGGAAACUGCCUGAUGGAGGGGGAUAACUACUGGAAACGGUAGCUAAUACCGCAUACCAUCAGAUGUGCCCAGAUGGGAUUAGCUAGUGGGUGGGGUAAAGGCUCACCAAGGCGACGAUCCCUAGCUGGUCUGGGAGGGUGACGGUCCAAACUGGAACGGAGACACGGUCCAGACUCCUACGGGAGGCAGCGGAGGGAAAUAUUGCACAAUGGGCGAAAGCCUGAUGCAGACAUGCCGCGUGUAUGAAGAGGGCCUUCGGGUGGUAAAGUACGUUCAGCGGGGAGGCGUUACCCGCAGAGGAAGCACCGGCUAACUACGUGCCAGCAGCCGCGGUAAUAC
Molecule: ribosomal RNA, 406 nt
Filed under: uncultured bacterium
Lineage: Bacteria
Description: partial 16S ribosomal RNA
Rfam family: Bacterial small subunit ribosomal RNA
Source: RNAcentral